UGAGUCCUGUGUGCAUAGUUUUCAUCUAUGUCUGGUAGCAGUAUCUGUUUGUGUUUUGCAUUCAGAUCUUGCUAUCCACACAAAAGAAUGCAGCCAAAGAAUAACUUGGGAUCAUAGUACUGGUCUAGUGUUGUGUUUUUGAACACAUCUCCCACUGACCAGCCUCCAAAUUCCCAGACACAA
RNAcentral lists this small nucleolar RNA (183 nucleotides) under Mus pahari (shrew mouse). RNAcentral describes it as "small nucleolar RNA, H/ACA box 23 (MGP_PahariEiJ_G0033962.1)". It matches the Rfam family "Small nucleolar RNA SNORA23". From Rfam's summary of the family: The members of this family belong to the H/ACA class of snoRNAs which are thought to guide the sites of modification of uridines to pseudouridines. This family includes human snoRNA ACA23 (SNORA23) and mouse snoMBI-1. ACA23 is predicted to guide the pseudouridylation of residue U3737 and U4331 of 28S rRNA. Lineage: Eukaryota; Metazoa; Chordata; Mammalia; Rodentia; Muridae. The record is from RNAcentral.